Molecule: ribosomal RNA, 253 nt
Filed under: uncultured bacterium
Lineage: Bacteria
Description: partial 16S ribosomal RNA
Rfam family: Bacterial small subunit ribosomal RNA
Source: RNAcentral
UACGUAGGGUGCAAGCGUUGUCCGGAAUUAUUGGGCGUAAAGAGCUCGUAGGCGGUCUGUCGCGUCUGCUGUGAAAACUCAGGGCUUAACCCUGAGCUUGCAGUGGGAACGGGCAGACUAGAGUGCGGUAGGGGAGACUGGAAUUCCUGGUGUAGCGGUGAAAUGCGCAGAUAUCAGGAGGAACACCCGUAGCGAAGGCGGCGCUCUGGGCCGGUACUGACGCUGAGGAGCGAAAGCGUGGGGGGCAAACAGG